Molecule: ribosomal RNA, 254 nt
Filed under: uncultured bacterium
Lineage: Bacteria
Description: partial 16S ribosomal RNA
Rfam family: Bacterial small subunit ribosomal RNA
Source: RNAcentral
CACGUAGGGUGCGAGCGUUGUCCGGAAUUAUUGGGCGUAAAGAGCUCGUAGGCGGUUUGUCGCGUCGGCCGUGAAAACCUGCAGCUUAACUGUGGGCUUGCGGUCGAUACGGGCAUCACUGGAGUUCGGCAGGGGAGACUGGAAUUCCUGGUGUAGCGGUGAAAUGCGCAGAUAUCAGGAGGAACACCGGUGGCGAAGGCGGUUCUCUGGGCCUUACCUGACGCUGAGGCACGAAGGCCAGGGGAGCAAACGGG